Molecule: ribosomal RNA, 433 nt
Filed under: uncultured bacterium
Lineage: Bacteria
Description: partial 16S ribosomal RNA
Rfam family: Bacterial small subunit ribosomal RNA
Source: RNAcentral
AACGAACGCUGGCGGCAUGCCUAACACAUGCAAGUCGAACGAGACCUUCGUGUCUAUUGGCGCACGGGUGCGUAACGCCUGGUAAGUUGCACGUAGGUUCCGUAUAACUCCCUUAAGGGUGUGUUAAUACCGGAUAAUGUCUUCGGACCAAAGAGUUAUUGCUUUUGGAUGGGCCCUCGUUGGAUUAGCUAGUUGGUAGGGUAAAAGCCUACCAAGGCGACGAUCCAUAGCUGGUCUGAGAGGAUGAUCAGCCACACUGGGACUGAGACACGGCCCAGACUCCUACGGGAGGCAGCAGUAGGGAAUAUUGGACAAUGGGCGAAAGCCUGAUCCAGCAAUGCCGCGUGAGUGAUGAAGGCCUUAGGGUUGUAAAGCUCUUUUACCCGGGAUGAUAAUGACAGUACCGGGAGAAUAAGCUCCGGCUAACUCCGUG